This 645-nucleotide long non-coding RNA is filed under the name Durio zibethinus. RNAcentral's name for it is "long non-coding RNA (DZIB_LNC000815)". Lineage: Eukaryota; Viridiplantae; Streptophyta; Magnoliopsida; Malvales; Malvaceae. The record is from RNAcentral.
AAAAACAUUCUAUCAACUUCGAAAAAAGAAAAUAGCCACCGUUAAUCCCAAUUUUAAGCGACGGCCUGUCGCACGCACCGCUGCGUACCGCCGGUCACUGGUAUCAGUUCACCGCCAAAAUCCAGCCAACGACUCCUCUCUUCCUCAUCUUCCCAAAUCCAUCCUCCGUUUAGCCAAAGACCUUCGAUUCAUCCUAGAUCUGAGCUGAAAGCGGGUGGUUUCAAAACCCAAAACACCCCUCCUCCGUCACUAAAUGGCCUGGGCUUCUACUAUGUCGUUUUCCUUCCCCAGAUCUUCAUCUCCUACAAAUUUCAAGUCUUGGAGCUCCUUCAAGCCUCCCAAACACGAAAUCCAGUUGACUCUCCUCUUAUUUCGUUUUUUUUUUUGUUUGUGUUUUGUGUUCUCUCCUUUUCUGUGUGUACAUAUGACUGCUGCUUCCUCUAAAAGGAAUGAGGUUUUUUUUAUCUUGAUUUUUUUUACAGGUUGACAGACAGGCAUUAGGUGGAUUUUUUUGGGUGAUGAAGUUGAUGGAUUGUUGCUGGGUUUUCGAUAUGGGGUAACAGGAUGGUGAUGGAGAGACUGGGAUUUUGGCUGGUCGGGGUUCGGUGAUAGUGGGUGAAGGCCGGCUUUGGGGCUUGUGAAGGC